Molecule: ribosomal RNA, 227 nt
Filed under: uncultured Acanthamoeba
Lineage: Eukaryota; Discosea; Longamoebia; Acanthamoebidae
Description: partial 18S ribosomal RNA
Rfam family: Eukaryotic small subunit ribosomal RNA
Source: RNAcentral
CUCAUUAAAUCAGUUAUAGUUUAUUUGAUGGUCUCUUUUGUCUUUUUUUACCUACUUGGAUAACCGUGGUAAUUCUAGAGCUAAUACAUGCGCAAGGUCCCGAGCGCGGGGGGCAGGGCUUCACGGCCCUGUCCUCGCAUGCGCAGAGGGAUGUAUUUAUUAGGUUAAACAACCAGCAUUUUUUCAUUUCUGGUGAUUCAUAGUAACUCUUUCGGAUCGCAUUCAUG